This 460-nucleotide ribosomal RNA is filed under the name uncultured bacterium. RNAcentral's name for it is "partial 16S ribosomal RNA". It matches the Rfam family "Bacterial small subunit ribosomal RNA", at positions 338 to 795 of the family's 1533-position model. The record is from RNAcentral.
CCUACGGGAGGCUGCAGUGAGGAAUAUUGGUCAAUGGGCGCGAGCCUGAACCAGCCAAGUAGCGUGAAGGAUGACUGCCCUACGGGUUGUAAACUUCUUUUAUAAAGGAAUAAAGUGAGGCACGUGUGCCUUUUUGUAUGUACUUUAUGAAUAAGGAUCGGCUAACUCCGUGCCAGCAGCCGCGGUAAUACGGAGGAUCCGAGCGUUAUCCGGAUUUAUUGGGUUUAAAGGGAGCGUAGGUGGGUUGUUAAGUCAGUUGUGAAAGUUUGCGGCGCAACCGUAAAAUUGCAAUUGAUACUGGCAGUCUUGAGUACAGUUGAGGUAGGCGGAAUUCGUGGUGUAGCGGUGAAAUGCUUAGAUAUCACGAAGAACUCCGAUUGCGAAGGUAGCCUACUAAACUGCCACUGACAUUGAGGCUCGAAAGUGUGGGUAUCAAACAGGAUUAGAUACCCGAGUAGUC